AUACGGAGGGUGCAAGCGUUAAUCGGAAUUACUGGGCGUAAAGCGUAGGUAGGCGGUCCGUUAAGUUAGAUGUGAAAGCCCCGGGCUUAACCUGGGAACUGCAUUUAAAACUGGCGGACUAGAGUUGAGUAGAGGGGAGUGGAAUUUCAGGUGUAGCGGUGAAAUGCGUAGAGAUCUGAAGGAACACCAGUGGCGAAGGCGACUCCCUGGACUCGAACUGACGCUGAGGUACGAAAGCGUGGGUAGCAAACGGGAUUAGAAACCCCAGUAGUCC
RNAcentral lists this ribosomal RNA (274 nucleotides) under uncultured bacterium. Its description in RNAcentral is "partial 16S ribosomal RNA". It matches the Rfam family "Bacterial small subunit ribosomal RNA", at positions 523 to 796 of the family's 1533-position model. The record is from RNAcentral.